This 543-nucleotide ribosomal RNA is filed under the name uncultured Pestalotiopsis. RNAcentral's name for it is "SSU rRNA". It matches the Rfam family "Eukaryotic small subunit ribosomal RNA", at positions 548 to 1098 of the family's 1831-position model. The record is from RNAcentral. Lineage: Eukaryota; Fungi; Ascomycota; Sordariomycetes; Amphisphaeriales; Amphisphaeriaceae.
UUGGAGGGCAAGUCUGGUGCCAGCAGCCGCGGUAAUUCCAGCUCCAAUAGCGUAUAUUAAAGUUGUUGCAGUUAAAAAGCUCGUAGUUGAACCUUGGGCCUGGCUGGCCGGUCCGCCUCACCGCGUGCACUGGUUCGGCCGGGCCUUUCCCUCUGGGGAACCCUAUGGUCUUCACUGAUCGUAGCGGGGAACCAGGACUUUUACUGUGAAAAAAUUAGAGUGUUCAAAGCAGGCCUAUGCUCGAAUACAUUAGCAUGGAAUAAUAAAAUAGGACGUGUGGUUCUAUUUUGUUGGUUUCUAGGACCGCCGUAAUGAUUAAUAGGGACAGUCGGGGGCAUCAGUAUUCAAUUGUCAGAGGUGAAAUUCUUGGAUUUAUUGAAGACUAACUACUGCGAAAGCAUUUGCCAAGGAUGUUUUCAUUAAUCAGGAACGAAAGUUAGGGGAUCGAAGACGAUCAGAUACCGUCGUAGUCUUAACCAUAAACUAUGCCGACUAGGGAUCGGACGGUGUUAUUUUUGACCCGUUCGGCACCUUACGGGAAAC